RNAcentral lists this ribosomal RNA (253 nucleotides) under uncultured bacterium. Its description in RNAcentral is "partial 16S ribosomal RNA". It matches the Rfam family "Bacterial small subunit ribosomal RNA", at positions 524 to 776 of the family's 1533-position model. The record is from RNAcentral.
GACGUAGGGCGCGAGCGUUGUCCGGAUUUAUUGGGCGUAAAGAGCGUGUAGGCGGCCAGGUAGGUCUGCUGUGAAAACUCGAGGCUCAACCUCGAGACGUCGGCGGAAACCAUCUGGCUAGAGUCCGGAAGAGGAGAGUGGAAUUCCUGGUGUAGCGGUGAAAUGCGCAGAUAUCAGGAAGAACACCCGUGGCGAAGGCGGCUCGCUGGGACGUGACUGACGCUGAGACGCGAAAGCGUGGGGAGCAAACAGG